ACAGCCACUUUUUUCCGAAACUAUAAGAACUAUACUGUUGAAACUUAGUAAUUAGAUGUAUUCUGUGAACCGCAUUAAGAUUUACAUACAAAAAUAGAAAAAAAAACAAAAAAUUUUGGGGGUACUUAGAACUGAAACUCAAAAAAUUUUUUUUCAUCAAACCCAUACGUGUGGGGUAUCUAUGGAUAGGUCUUCAAAAAUGAUAUUGAGGUUUCUAAUA
Long non-coding RNA from Cydia amplana, 220 nucleotides. RefSeq lists it as uncharacterized. The transcript is spliced from 2 exons. The record is from RefSeq and is a predicted model, not a curated record. Lineage: Eukaryota; Metazoa; Arthropoda; Insecta; Lepidoptera; Tortricidae.